GCUGACGAGCGGCGGACGGGUGAGUAACGCGUAGGAAUCUACCCAGUAGCGGGGGAUAGCCCGGGGAAACUCGGAUUAAUACCGCAUACGCCCCAAGGGGGAAAGCAGGGGAUCUUCGGACCUUGCACUAUUGGAUGAGCCUGCGUUGGAUUAGCUAGUUGGUAGGGUAAAGGCCUACCAAGGCGACGAUCCAUAACUGGUCUGAGAGGAUGAUCAGCCACACUGGGACUGAGACACGGCCCAGACUCC
RNAcentral lists this ribosomal RNA (249 nucleotides) under uncultured bacterium. RNAcentral's name for it is "partial 16S ribosomal RNA". It matches the Rfam family "Bacterial small subunit ribosomal RNA", at positions 87 to 339 of the family's 1533-position model. The record is from RNAcentral.